This is a non-coding RNA of Pongo abelii (Sumatran orangutan), 49 nucleotides long. The record is from Rfam. NCBI's taxonomy places the organism in Eukaryota, Metazoa, Chordata, Mammalia, Primates, Hominidae.
GGGAAACGGGAUGAGGGGCCGGCCCCAGGCCCCUUUAAACAGUGGGGCA